This 698-nucleotide ribosomal RNA is filed under the name uncultured bacterium. Its description in RNAcentral is "bacterial SSU rRNA". It matches the Rfam family "Bacterial small subunit ribosomal RNA", at positions 8 to 699 of the family's 1533-position model. The record is from RNAcentral.
AGAGUUUGAUCAUGGCUCAGAUUGAACGCUGGCGGCAUGCUUUAUACAUGCAAGUCGAACGGCAGCACGGGAGCUUGCUCCUGGUGGCGAGUGGCGAACGGGUGAGUAAUGCACCGGAACGUACCCAGUAAUGGGGGAUAACACAUCGAAAGAUGUGCUAAUACCGCAUACGCCCUGAGGGGGAAAGCGGGGGAUCGUAAGACCUCGCGUUAUUGGAGCGGCCGAUGCCGGAUUAGCUAGUUGGUGGGGUAAAGGCUCACCAAGGCGACGAUCCGUAGCUGGUCUGAGAGGACGACCAGCCACACUGGGACUGAGACACGGCCCAGACUCCUACGGGAGGCAGCAGUGGGGAAUUUUGGACAAUGGGCGCAAGCCUGAUCCAGCCAUGCCGCGUGAGUGAAGAAGGCCUUCGGGUUGUAAAGCUCUUUCGCAAGGAAAGAAAACUUACCUAUUAAUACUAGGUGAGGUUGACGGUACCUUGAUAAGAAGCACCGGCUAACUACGUGCCAGCAGCCGCGGUAAUGCGUAGGGUGCGAGCGUUAAUCGGAAUUACUGGGCGUAAAGCGUGCGCAGGCGGUUUUGUAAGUCAGAUGUGAAAUCCCCGGGCUCAACCUGGGAACUGCGUUUGAAACUACAAGGCUAGAGUGUAGAAGAGGGGGGUAGAAUUCCACGUGUAGCAGUGAAAUGCGUAGAGAUGU